GAUGUUUUCUUUCUUGUAUUAACUGUUUCAACUUCCAUUUUUAAAUUGACUAAUGGUCUGCAGUAACAAAAGUGACUUUUCAUACUCACAGAUGUAUAUGUAAUAGGAGGUUAUGCCAUCUUGUUGGAUAAUGUAGUUCACUUUAAUUAUUUUUAAAAAUUUAGCUGAUAUUUUGCCCUUUUGGGAGUAUGGAUGAAUUUGUUCAAUGUUCUACAUCUGGAAAAUUAAACUGAAAAGUGCUGAGUAUUUUACUGUUGUCAAGACAUUGAGGAAACUUGAACUCGAACCCCAAGCAAAGUGGGAAUUGAAACUGGUCAACCCCCUGCUUGUUCCUUGAGUUGCAGAGAACCCGGUGGCUCAGGUGGUUGACCCUACCUCAGGAAGUUCAGUAUGUUUAGGAAGAUCCUUUGAAGUGUAAAUGAUAGUGAAAUCCAACUUCUAGACUCCAAUAUCUUCUGUUGUGCUGAGUAAAUGUUAUUUAUAGCAUGAAGGCCCAAUCAGAUCCUCUUGAAAAAAUUUGUGAAAUAGGACAGGAAUAGCUGUGACAAUCUGUAGGGAAUCUCGAGCUAAGUUGGGAUGUAUGGUUUCCUUUGGGAGUUGCUUGAAAAGCUUGCAUUUGUUAUGUAAUUGGUGCUCCUUUCACUCGAAAGGAGGCAUCUGUCCUUAAAGGAACUUCUUCUAUGCCAGUCACAGAACAACUACCUGCUGAGUUCACGGCAGUCUCCUGCCUGUCGGAGCAUCCUCGGUGUGAUGACUUUCCCUAAUCGAGUCCUGUGUCGGAUUGCUUCCAUGCCACCAAAAGCUGCAACCCUAUCGAGGAGGUGAAGAUCACAACUUGUAACUUCAAUAGGCCACGAACUUAUCAAUCACCCCUGCUGUGGACCACUGGAGAUCCAAGACACCGACUUCUACAAAGAAAAGAUCCGUAUGCUCCAUGACCGCUGGACUAAACCUAAUUCCAGCUCCUGAUUCUGGAAAUAAUUUCACUGUUUUCUGAAAGGUGACAUCUUCUGAGGUGGCAGCAAAGAAUUAACAAGAAAACACAAAGUAAAAUAAAGAAAAAGAAGCUUAGAUAAACUGCUCCAACUUAAACUUCAAAAUAAAGCCUAGCGGUCAAAUUGCAUCUUCAGACUCUAUAAAUUGAGUUUAGGCCAACUUACCAACGCUUCAGAUUAUCAGAAUCGUGCUUGUUAUUACUGACUUGUGUUUCAUGAAAUUUGUUUUGUGGCAGCUGCAUA
Molecule: long non-coding RNA, 1238 nt
Organism: Hypanus sabinus (Atlantic stingray)
Lineage: Eukaryota; Metazoa; Chordata; Chondrichthyes; Myliobatiformes; Dasyatidae
Exons: 4
Source: RefSeq, a predicted model, not a curated record